RNAcentral lists this ribosomal RNA (468 nucleotides) under uncultured bacterium. Its description in RNAcentral is "partial 16S ribosomal RNA". It matches the Rfam family "Bacterial small subunit ribosomal RNA", at positions 28 to 507 of the family's 1533-position model. The record is from RNAcentral.
GACGAACGCUGGCGGCGUGCUUAACACAUGCAAGUCGAACGGAAAGGCCCUGCUUUUGUGGGGUGCUCGAGUGGCGAACGGGUGAGUAACACGUGAGUAACCUGCCCUUGACUUUGGGAUAACUUCAGGAAACUUGGGCUAAUACCGGAUAGGAGCUCCUGCUGCAUGGUGGGGGUUGGAAAGUUUCGGCGGUUGGGGAUGGACUCGCGGCUUAUCAGCUUGUUGGGGGGGUAGUGGAUUACCAAGGCUUUGACGGGUAGCCGGGCUGCGAGGGUGAGCGGCCACACUAGGACUGAGAUGCGGCCCAGACUAGUACGGGAGGCAGGGGUGGAGAGUAUAGCACAAUAGGCGGGAGCCUGGUGCGGCAACGCCGCGUGCGGGAAGACGGCAUUGGCGUUGUAAACCGAUUUUCCCUGUGACGAAGCGUGAGUGACGGUAAUGGGUAAAGAAGCACCGGCUAACUACGUG